Long non-coding RNA from Solanum verrucosum, 600 nucleotides. RefSeq lists it as uncharacterized. The transcript is spliced from 2 exons. Lineage: Eukaryota; Viridiplantae; Streptophyta; Magnoliopsida; Solanales; Solanaceae. The record is from RefSeq and is a predicted model, not a curated record.
ACGUGAAAAUUUUGGCUAGUUAUUAUCUAUUUAUUGACUACAUAAUUUUUCUUCCUUUUUAUUCAUUACCUGGUAGCAUGCACCACAUCCUAGACCAUUUCGAUAGAGUUCUGAUGCUGCUGAGACAUCUCCGCCAUUGAUUGUUGCUCCAAAAGUACCAAAUCCACAACUCCCAGCUGCAUGCAACCAAACAGAAGAGUGGGCUGCACGAGAACGAGUGAAACAAUCCGGGCAUGUUUGAGAGUUCCCCAGAGUUUGCAUGAAGAUAAAAGAUGCUACAAAGACAGAGAGAACUUGAAGAGGAGCCAUUUGGAUUAAAGAUCACAAGAAAGGGUAAUUAAGCAAAAGAGAACAAGUUGAUGUUGCAGGGAACUGAAAUGGCGUUCGAGUAUUUAUAGUGAACUGAAAGCAGCAAAUAAGCCCCCACAUUGGUAAAACUUAACUAUGACUUUUGACAUUCUGUUCAACUUCAAUUUUGAAUGCAGGGAAUUCUGGCUUUACUUUCCCAAGCAACCUUUUUGGACCUUGCAUCACUUGUUUUUAGAUAAUAUAGGGAGUCACUUUCUCACUUUAUUAGGUGAAUAUUUUGUUCUUCUUUAA